This is a long non-coding RNA of Larimichthys crocea (large yellow croaker), 723 nucleotides long. RefSeq lists it as uncharacterized. Lineage: Eukaryota; Metazoa; Chordata; Actinopteri; Sciaenidae. The transcript has 3 exons. The record is from RefSeq and is a predicted model, not a curated record.
UGCAUCUGUAGUACUCUUUCUUUUUCGGCAUGAAACCAUACUGCUGCUCACAAAUGCUCACUUCUGCCCUUAGUCUAGCUUCAACUACUCUUUCCCAUAACUUCAUGGUAUGGCUCAUCAGCUUUAUUCCUCUGUAGCUGCCACAACUCUGCACAGCUCCCUUGUUCUCAAAAAUGGGCACCAUCACACUUAUCCUCCAUUCCUCUAGCAUCUUCUCACUAUCUAAGAUCCUGUUGAACAACCCAGUCAAAAAAUGUACUGCCAUCUCUCCUAGACACUUCCAUAACUCCACAGGUAUAUCAUCAGGGCUGAGUGCCUUUCCGCUCUUCAUCCUCUUCAAUGCCCUCCUCACUUUAUCCUCACUAAUCUUUGCUACUUCCUGGUCCACAACAGUCACCUCUUCUGCUCUUCAUUCUCUCUCAUUUUCCUCAUUCAUCAACUCUUCAAAGUACUCUUUCCAUCUUCCCAUAACACUACUGGCACCUGUCAGUACACUUCCAUCCCUAUCCUUAAUCAUCCUAGAGUGCUGCAUGUCCUUCCCAUCUCUAUCUCUCUGCCUUGCCAACCUGUAUAGAUCAGUCUCGCCCUCCUUACUGUCCAACCUAGCAUACAAGUCAUCGUAAGCUCCUUGUUUGGCCUUUGCCACCUCAACUUUCACCUUAUGCUGCAUCUCCCUGUACUCCUGUCUAACUCUUUCUCCGUACACACUCCUUCACCUCCUCA